Molecule: long non-coding RNA, 249 nt
Organism: Hydra vulgaris (swiftwater hydra)
Lineage: Eukaryota; Metazoa; Cnidaria; Hydrozoa; Anthoathecata; Hydridae
Source: RefSeq, a predicted model, not a curated record
UUUUCUUGGCGCAUCAAAUUAUUUAAAAUUUAUCACUUCAUACAAAAUGGUUGAAAUCAGAGAAAGUUUUAUAGCUGUUAGAGAAGAAGCAAACAACCGUCUUACUAAGGGAAAGAAAACAAAAAGAAAGACCCAGAAGAUGAGGAAGAUACUAUAUUGUUUUGGAGAAGAUGCUGCUUGUAAUCAUGUUUAACUUGAUUGUACAAAACUUUCUUUGGUCAACAUUUUUAAUACAAAAACUACAACUUU